RNAcentral lists this ribosomal RNA (253 nucleotides) under uncultured prokaryote. RNAcentral's name for it is "partial 16S ribosomal RNA". It matches the Rfam family "Bacterial small subunit ribosomal RNA", at positions 525 to 777 of the family's 1533-position model. The record is from RNAcentral.
ACGAAGGGGGCUAGCGUUGUUCGGAUUUACUGGGCGUAAAGGGCGCGUAGGCGGUGCGAUAAGUCAGGCGUGAAAGCCCCGGGCUCAACCCGGGAAUAGCGCUUGAUACUGUUGCGCUUGAAUCCAGGAGAGGAUGGCGGAAUUCCCAGUGUAGAGGUGAAAUUCGUAGAUAUUGGGAAGAACACCAGUGGCGAAGGCGGCCAUCUGGCCUGGAAUUGACGCUGAGGCGCGAAAGCGUGGGGAGCAAACAGGA